Molecule: long non-coding RNA, 1112 nt
Organism: Syngnathoides biaculeatus (alligator pipefish)
Lineage: Eukaryota; Metazoa; Chordata; Actinopteri; Syngnathiformes; Syngnathidae
Exons: 2
Source: RefSeq, a predicted model, not a curated record
GAUCUCGAACGCGGGGCACGAGCGACAAUUCGACGCCACUCACCCGAAAUCCUGGUCCAUGGAUUUGAAGAAGAACUUGUAGCUGUGCACGGGUCGAUUGUUGAGGACAUUUUUGAAAUCGGCUAAGGGUCCCCGUAGCUCAGGAUCCGGCUCGGUCAGCGCAGCCCUGGUUGAGAUGUGCCGGUUCGAGCGCCAAACCUCAGAACUGCGAGGCGGGCCUCCACUCACCGACAUUUUCUUUGAAAACGCGUGACACGUUAACUGCAAAUGAUCGCCAGGCUUGUUGUGUUUCCUUUAUUCACUAUUAAACCAUUUUCAUUCAUAACGGCAUUAUUACACUUAAUUGGGUACAGUGAAUAAUGAUUGAUUGGUGGUGAUCAAAAAGUUUGUGCUUCCUCUCUUUAGCUGUGCAAACAAAUUGGAGCUUUUGAUAAAUGAAUUUGAGCAGUUCAAAUAUGCUAAAUUUGAGAAAUGACAGAGAUUUUUUUUUUUUUUAAAUCAGAAUAUUCCCCAACUUUAUGUACAAACUAACAAGCAAUCACCCAACAUCGUGACUUUCCACUCCAGCUCAAUUUGUACAUAAGAGUUUGAAAAGUACAGUCGUAGUUUACAGGUCGUCCAAGAAAAUUACACUUGCAUACUUGAAAAGAAUUUUAACGUCAACAAUGUUUCAAAAGCCGCAGCGAUCAAAAGAAGAUGCCUCGUAAUUGUGAUCUUAUGUACGGCGCGUUGCUGUUGUUGUUAAAGCGCACAAUAAAGUUGAGCUGUCGCCACCAAUCAGCGGAUGAAGUGUGUUGAGACCACAAAAGGUGGUGCAAGCCGAACGGAUGUCAGGAUUACUUUUGUACUGUUUGGAUAAACGGAUUCCAACAGGCUUUUAUUUCCAAAUUUUAAUUUUUUUUUUUUUUUUUUUGGGGGGGGGGUGGUAAAUACACACUGGGAUCAAUUUUAAGUGUACAAAGAAAGUUUGCAUAGUACCAUCAAAAUGUGUCACAACUGGUGAUUUUGUCCACAUACAGUAAAAAAAAACAAAACGUUGCUUUGCAAAUGACAAUACAGCAGAAUCUGUGCAAAAAAAACCAAAAAAAAAAAAAAACAAAGACAGUAGCAAA